Molecule: long non-coding RNA, 696 nt
Organism: Hyla sarda
Lineage: Eukaryota; Metazoa; Chordata; Amphibia; Anura; Hylidae
Exons: 5
Source: RefSeq, a predicted model, not a curated record
AUGACACCUUUCAUUUUACCAGAAAAUGUACUGGAAAACAUAAAAAUAAAUAUUGUUGAAGAGAAAUAAAAAAACUAAAAAAAAAAACACAAUUCAUUUUCAAGCAGUUCACUGUGUUGUACAAUUGACCGGAAUCAAUGAUUUGCUGAGCGGGCCUCCACUGAAGCCCAUCUCUGAGGGGACCAGAGUGCCAUGGACUGACUUAGAGAACUACUGGUGCUCCGAAUCCUCCGGUUUAGCCCUUACACUUGUAAAGUUAGGAAAAUGUGAAUUCCAAGAGGAAGGAAAUAAGCUGAGGUGCGUAAAUCCAUACAUUGGCAUGGUAUUAAGGCCCACCUACACAUAAAGAAAAGUCAACGGAAUCCACCAAUUUGGACAGGAUUGGCCAGCUUUCUAAUGUGUAUGGGGUCCUCCCAACUCUUGACAGAUGAAGACUAUCCUGGCUCACAUAUCCCUUCAGGGUGUGUUGCAGACUUUGAUAUAUGCUUGCACUGGUCUUUGGUAAAGAAGUGGACAGCUGGUUGAGAAAAGCUGUGCCUGCCCCGGGAUUGGGACGUCAUCAGAAGGAGGAAGAGCAGCACAGAAGUGAGAACCAGGAGAUCUGACAGCGGGACCCGUUUUAUCUCUAUAGUCCUCUCCAGGGCUGAGAAAUGUGCCUUUUUGUUCUUUGCAAAUGUCAUCCCUAGCAGAGCAAGA